UACGUAGGGUGCGAGCGUUGUCCGGAAUUAUUGGGCGUAAAGAGCUUGUAGGCGGUUUGUCGCGUCUGCUGUGAAAAUCCGGGGCUCAACCCCGGACUUGCAGUGGGUACGGGCAGACUAGAGUGUGGUAGGGGAGACUGGAAUUCCUGGUGUAGCGGUGAAAUGCGCAGAUAUCAGGAGGAACACCGAUGGAGAAGGCAGGUCUCUGGGCCACUACUGACGCUGAGAAGCGAAAGCAUGGGGACGAACAGGAUUAGAUA
RNAcentral lists this ribosomal RNA (260 nucleotides) under uncultured prokaryote. RNAcentral's name for it is "partial 16S ribosomal RNA". It matches the Rfam family "Bacterial small subunit ribosomal RNA", at positions 524 to 784 of the family's 1533-position model. The record is from RNAcentral.